GGGAGAAAAUCAAUCAAUACUUGUAUUCCACUCAACCAUUAAAUUCUGCCGCUACUAAUAUAUUUUCAUUUUAAAAUAUGCUCAAAAUAUUUAUUGACCAUCCAAAAAAGAAAAUAAAUAAAUACAAUUGGCAUAUAAUAUUAGCAUGGAUUCAAUGUUACAACGAAAACUCCAUGUCGUUCAGCUCAAAACGGCCACAAGUCACCCCAGAGAGAUCUUCGGGCCUGAUGAUGUAAUGUAGGAUUCCGACUCUUGGUGACAACUAUAUGUUCGAAUGAUCCCUCUGAGCCAUCCUCGUUGAUUGAUCGACACACAUCCAAUGCAACUUGUCUGCCUCUCCUAACAGGUGAGAAGAUUAUCCUUCCCCAACCACCCCCAAGAUCCGCAUGAGCUGUUUCUUCUUGCCCUAUUUCCUUGUCUUCACCAAUAUUGUCAACUUCAUUGUCUUCACCAAUCGUGUCAAUUUCAACAACAUCAGAAUCAUAGUCAAUUGGAUCCACUUCUUCAUAUGGGACAUCAGGUUGAUCUUGCAGAAUUAUGUCCUCAUAGUCAAUUUCAAGAUUAUCGAGAUUUCUUUUGGCACGCUGCUCCUUCAGAGUCUCAAAUUUCACACCGUCAAGAGGCCAGGAUACCCUGUUCAAACAAAGCACGUAUGCAUCAUAUUGGGAAAUACACUUGAAAAAAAAAAAUCAAAUGUUACAAACUGUAAUUGAAUCCUAUAAGGACCUUGAAGUUCUUAAUCUCAAUAAGAAUUUUUCCAAACAAAUGCAAUUCACAAAUAUAAACAAAUUAUUUAAGAAUACCAACCGAGGCCGUUGUCCUCGUCUGAAAGCAACAAAGGAAAAUUUCUCAUCUUCAAAUCCACGUAAAGGCUCACCCUUGGACCGCUUGUAUGCACGUUGUGUUGACGUUCUCUGCAAACGCUGAACAAAAUGGCAAUAUUUCCCAGAUUUCUCCAAAGGACAGUGCCCAUCAUGAGCACACUGCAUAAACGAGGCAGUUAGGAAAAAUGUGAUGAGAAAAUGAAAUGCAAAUGUUCAGAAUUUAUUUGAUAAUUUAACCUCAAAGGACCAGAAAAGGAAGAAAAAUUAUCGUACUUACAGGAGCAACUACAAAAGCACCACUUUUGACAGACACCAGAUCCUUACAAGCUUCACUGUUUUGCAUUUUAGAUUUACGCAAUUUCUGAAAGUUCAUCAGUAUAUUCCACACAUGGCGAGAAAAAGCAAUCAUAAAUUAGGAACAUAAAACCUUUUGUAUUAUCAGGCACCACAUAAAACUUUUUCCAAAUAAGAACCAGAAGGAAACAGCGAAUGUACCCUUUUCUCCAUCCAUAAUAUGUGAGAUCGCAUCUGAGAUAUGAUAUUAGAUCCAUGUGGUGUUCCUGGUUCAAUUAAAACCAAAACAUCCUUUGUAAGAUCCCAAAGCUGGCGCACCAUAGUGAUCCGAUCCUUGAGCGAUGGUAUCUCCCCAAGCACAUAGGAAGCAAUUACAAGGUCAUGUUCCCUCUCAGACUUGUUGAUAUUUUUAGUUAAUGCUUGAAUGCUAUUAUAGCUGUGAAUAAGUGGCAAAUCCUUCAGACCUUGUAUAAGGCUCCGACCAGCCCGUUGCAUCGAUUGGGAUGGCUCCACCAAGUUUACCUUCUCUACUGACUUUGGCCAGACCUCACGCAUUGCCCAGAAAGCUGAACCAGUUCCAGCACCAAAGUCCAAUACCUUAGCUGGGGAAAAACCUGGUAACCUUCUUUGAACCUCGCUGAAGACUCUGUGGCAGGAAGAGAAGACAGCAGGCAUGCGCGAGGCAACAUAUGCAACUGUCUCAUCGUCUGUGUAUUUGAGUCCAAUAUCACCGUAAGCGCUCUUGAUUUUCCAACGCCUAGAGCGCUCCAUAGACUUGAAUGGAUCCUCAACUAGCUCCUUUGAAGUGAUCGUUGUCAGCAUCAUAUUCACGUCCUUGAUUUCGCUAAACGACUCCGAUAAUCUCAAUACCUUCCUUUUUAUGUGCGGCUCCUCUUGCUCUCGUAUGUAUCUUUUAAUGGCGCGGCGGAGGCGAACGGGGACGAUGACGCACCCCUGCGAUUGUUUGGCUGCAGACAGGAGGGUUUCUGGAGUGAAUAAUUUUUGGGUGGUUUCAGGGAUUAGGCUCGCCAUUAUCUCUUUUUUUUCCCCUCUAAAAUGGGAAAUAAUUUCUCGCUCCUGCUGUUUUGAAGUUGAACAAUAGAUUUCAGAAGUGGCAAUGGGUACGUACCGGCGAGAUUGAGGGCGUCGGUGAGAUUGAACAGCGGCGAGAUUGAGAGCGUCAGCGAGAUUGAGGGAGUUUUGUUAUCGGAUGGCGAUGAAGCAAGCAGCUGAGAAUUUUCGGACUUUGUCUCUUGAGUAACUCAGAUAAGUAAUUCAGAGGUAAGGUACCGAGGUUUAUGGAGGCUCGCCAUUUCUAGCAAGGAAAGUGAAACUGGU
This 2456-nucleotide unclassified non-coding RNA is filed under the name Hevea brasiliensis (rubber tree). Lineage: Eukaryota; Viridiplantae; Streptophyta; Magnoliopsida; Malpighiales; Euphorbiaceae. The record is from RNAcentral.